UACAGAGGUCUCAAGCGUUGUUCGGAUUCAUUGGGCGUAAAGGGUGCGUAGGUGGCGCUGUAAGUCGGGUGUGAAAUUUCGGAGUUUAACUCCGAAACUGCAUUCGAUACUGCGGUGCUUGAGGACUGGAGAGGAGACUGGAAUUCCAUGUGUAGCGGUGAAAUGCGUAGAGAUAUGGAGGAACACCAGUGGCGAAGGCGACUUUCUGGUCUGUAACUGACACUGAGGCGCGAAAGCGUGGGGAGCAAACAGG
Molecule: ribosomal RNA, 253 nt
Filed under: uncultured bacterium
Lineage: Bacteria
Description: partial 16S ribosomal RNA
Rfam family: Bacterial small subunit ribosomal RNA
Source: RNAcentral